Non-coding RNA from Pelobates cultripes (western spadefoot toad), 673 nucleotides. The record is from the annotation of a GenBank genome assembly. NCBI's taxonomy places the organism in Eukaryota, Metazoa, Chordata, Amphibia, Anura, Pelobatidae.
GCUAUUCCAGGUAUCUACUACCCUUUCUAUAUCACUGUCACUGCUCCCACUGGAAGGCUAUUCCAGGUAUCUACUACCCUUUCUAUAUCACUUACUGCUCCCACUGGAAGGCUAUUCCAGGUAUCUACUACUCUUUCUAUAUCACUGUUACUGCUCACACUGGAAGGCUAUUCCAGGUAUCUACUACCCUUUCUAUAUCAUUGUUACUGCUCCCACUGGAGGGCUAUUCCAGGUAUCUACUACCAUUUCUAUAUCACUGUUACUGCAUCCCACUGGAAGGCUAUUCCAGGUAUCUACUACCCUUUCUAUAUCACUGUUACUGCAUCCCACUGGAGGGCUAUUCCAGGUAUCUAUUACUCUUACUAUAUCACUGUUACUGCUCCCACUGGAAGGCUAUUCCAGGUAUCUACUACCCUCUCUAUAUCACUGUUACUGCAUCCCACUGGAAGGCUAUUCCAGGUAUCUGCUACCCUUUCUAUAUCACUGUUACUGCUUCCACUGGAAGGCUAUUCCAGGUAUCUACUACCCUUUCUAUAUCACUGUUACUGCUCCCACUGAAAGGCUAUUCCAGGUAUCUACUACCCUUUCUAUAUCACUGUUACUGUUCCCACUGGAAGGCUAUUCCAGGUAUCUACUACCCUUUCUAUAUCACUGUUACUGCUCCCACUGGAAG